AAAUACGGAGCCUGGUGCGUGGCAGUUACUUUGACCGAAAACUGCCAGGAAACUGCAAAACGGCGAGGAACACGCAGACUCGGAACGGAGUGCGGCGGGGGUGCCUGGCUGGCUGUCGGUGGGGCCGUGACCCUUGAGCUCAGCUCUGGAGUUUAAGCACCACGUUGGGCAUGGAGCCUGCUUUAAAAAAAGAACUAACUGUGGAAAAGCCAAACCGAAAAUGUUGCCAAAGGAAGAAGUGUACCUUCUACAGGACUGACGGUAGAUGAGGACCCACAUCGUAUUUCUUCAAGGCCUGCUGGGACCAAGUGAGAGGUACAAGUCAUGGCGAAGGCAUCCGUCCCGAAUAAACGUAUUGCUGCCACUUGACCCAGCUGCCAGCAAAACAACCAGAGAAGGAACCAGGCCACUCCCACCCAUGAAGGUCCCCUUUCAGAGAGCCCUACGUGACCAAGAUGGCUGACCACUGCAUGACUUCGCUUCUUCCCAAGCCCUUAUCCCCAC
Molecule: long non-coding RNA, 504 nt
Organism: Suricata suricatta (meerkat)
Lineage: Eukaryota; Metazoa; Chordata; Mammalia; Carnivora; Herpestidae
Exons: 3
Source: RefSeq, a predicted model, not a curated record